This 497-nucleotide ribosomal RNA is filed under the name uncultured bacterium. Its description in RNAcentral is "partial 16S ribosomal RNA". It matches the Rfam family "Bacterial small subunit ribosomal RNA", at positions 30 to 507 of the family's 1533-position model. The record is from RNAcentral.
AUUGAACGCUGGCGGCAUGCCUAACACAUGCAAGUCGAGCGGACGGACGAGGAGUUUCCCCCGCUGACGUUAGCGGCGGGCGUGUGAGUAACACGUGGAUAACCUCUCUAUAGGACUAUGACCAGUUCGGGGCCCCAGUACUACUACCGGCGAUUAUAUUAAACAGCCUGGUUCCCUUGGGACAGCCGGUUUUACUGUCACUUGUAGGUGGAUCCGCUCGGUAUUAGCUAGUUGGUCUGGUAACGGCUUACCAAGGCGACGAUGCGUAGCUGGCCUGAGAGGAUGAUCAGCCACACUGGAACUGAGACACGGUCCAGACUCCUACGGGAGGCAGCAGUGGGGAAUAUUGGGCAAUGGGCGAAAGCCUGAUGGAGCAAUGCCGCGUGAGUGAAGAAGGUCUUCGGAUUGUAAAGCACUGUUAUUAGGGAAGAACAACUGUGUAAUAAUACAUGCGCGUCUUGACGGUACCGAAUGAGUAAGCACCGGCUAACUACGUG